GCCAGUAUAAGAAAUUCAAGAUUCACAUUAGACACACUAUAUCGGCCAAUAUAAACUUCGUGUCUGAUGGCUUGAACCAACAGACGGACUCACGAAUCAGAUCUUGUUACGAUCUUAUCAGCGAUCGUCAAUGAAGACACAGAUGUGACUCUCCCAUACUUAGCGGACAGCUGAAUAUGCCACACCAAGAAAGUUAGAAUAAAGUACGGUAAUAUGAAUUCAACAACUAAAGAACAAGGAAGUUGUAGAGUACCAUGAGGCUCCUGUGUCAUAUCGCGGCGGAGUUAUGGUUUUUGGAGUUGUGUAAUGCCCUCACUGAUCAGACUGUGAAUGAGACCACAGAGAGUCACUACGUAUCGCCGGACUCGGACGAACUCAACAUCCUAUUCGGAGUAUUCACUCUAAUGCUAAUCAUUGCCUUCAUGUCUGGCGUCGCUUUGUGCAUCGUCAAAGGAAACCAGAUGGAGGAAGCGAAUGAAGAUGAUAAUGAAAAUACAGACGACAUCACAGAGAAAACACUUUUGACGGCAUCGUCGUGAUAUCAGAUACUAUGAUUCCCAGAUGAUUUACAAAUCAUCUAUUAUUAUAUAGAUAAACCUGUGUUUUUGUUAUUUGAUAACCCGAUUCAAGAUUGUGUGAUAGAGAAAUUGUAACAUUGUGGUCCAAGACAUUAAAGAUAGUCUAUCUGUCCCUAACUUAAACUGCUAAAAUACUAUGUUGCGAAAUGUGAAAUUAUAAUGUCAUGCGUACUUGAUCUUGAGUUGUUGUGAUUAACAGUGAUUUUUUUAAACAACCCAAUACUGGAAUUUUAAGAUUAUUGUUUUGUUAUGAUUAGUCAAAUACCGGUAUGAUACCAUGCAGUGUUGUAAUGGAUGUGGUAUUCUGAAUGAACUUUGAGCAACAAUAAACCGCAUAUUGGAUCGUAAAA
Molecule: long non-coding RNA, 928 nt
Organism: Ostrea edulis (European flat oyster)
Lineage: Eukaryota; Metazoa; Mollusca; Bivalvia; Ostreida; Ostreidae
Exons: 3
Source: RefSeq, a predicted model, not a curated record